UCUAUCUUCGCCUCUUCCUUCAAACACUACUAAAUCUGAGAAUGGUUUUAGAAAAACCGGUUUAAAUGGUUUGGUUUUUAUAUUGGGCUUUGGCUGGUUUAGGUCAUAUUGAGCUUAGGCAUUUUAAGUUUGGUUUGGUUUGGGUUUAAAAGAAAAGCAGUUUGGAUAUGGGUGGUUACGGGCCUAAACCGUUUGGUCUAUUUUAGACCACAAGCUGUGGGUGUAAC
RNAcentral lists this long non-coding RNA (227 nucleotides) under Hordeum vulgare. RNAcentral's name for it is "long non-coding RNA (HVUL_LNC015229)". Lineage: Eukaryota; Viridiplantae; Streptophyta; Magnoliopsida; Poales; Poaceae. The record is from RNAcentral.